Molecule: ribosomal RNA, 254 nt
Filed under: uncultured bacterium
Lineage: Bacteria
Description: partial 16S ribosomal RNA
Rfam family: Bacterial small subunit ribosomal RNA
Source: RNAcentral
UACGUAGGGGCCUAGCGUUGUCCGGAUUUAUUGGGCGUAAAGAGCUCGUAGGCGGUUUGGUAAGUCGGGUGUGAAAUCUCCACGCUCAACGUGGAGGGGCCACCCGAUACUGCCAUGACUGGAGUCCGGUAGGGGAGUGUGGAAUUCCCGGUGUAGCGGUGAAAUGCGCAGAUAUCAGGAGGAACACCGAUGGCGAAGGCAGGUCACUGGGCCGCAACUGACGCUGAGGAGCGAAAGCAUGGGGAGCGAACAGG